RNAcentral lists this ribosomal RNA (440 nucleotides) under uncultured bacterium. RNAcentral describes it as "partial 16S ribosomal RNA". It matches the Rfam family "Bacterial small subunit ribosomal RNA", at positions 338 to 795 of the family's 1533-position model. The record is from RNAcentral.
CCUACGGGUGGCUGCAGUAGGGAAUAUUGCUCAAUGGGGGAAACCCUGAAGCAGCAACGCCGCGUGGAGGAUGAAGGUUUUCGGAUUGUAAACUCCUUUUGUUAGAGAAGAUAAUGACGGUAUCUAACGAAUAAGCACCGGCUAACUCCGUGCCAGCAGCCGCGGUAAUACGGAGGGUGCAAGCGUUACUUGGAAUCACUGGGCGGAAAGAGCGCGUACGCGGGAUAGCAAGUCAGAGGGGAAAUCCGAGGGCUUAACCAUGGACCUGCAUUUGAAACUGAUAUUCGUGAGUAUGGGAGAGGUAGGUGGAAUUCCUGGUGUAGGGGUAAAAUCCGUAGAGAUCAAGAGGAAUACUCAUUGCGAAGGCGACCUGCUAGAACAUAACUGACGCUGAUGCGCGAAAGCGUGGGGAGCAAACAGGAUUAGAUACCCCAGUAGUC